Molecule: non-coding RNA, 419 nt
Organism: Thamnophis sirtalis
Lineage: Eukaryota; Metazoa; Chordata; Lepidosauria; Squamata; Natricidae
Source: RefSeq, a predicted model, not a curated record
GGUGGCAGCCGCUCGUUUCUGCCACGUCCCUCCCGGGCGAAGGCGAGCCUGGCGGGCAGCGGCCGGGAAGCGCCACGGCACGUGCGCGCCGAUGCCAAUGGGAGAAGGAUUGUUUAAUACAACGUGUGUUGGUGUGUGAAGACUGCCUUGCUGCCUGACGAUUAGAAGAAGUCCAUUUAAACGAGGGGACAGGUAGCAAGCAAGAACAAGUGUUUAAAAACUACAGUGGGAUUUGUUUUUAAGUGUGCUUGUGAAGACGUUGGCAAAAUUUUGAUCAAAAGGCUGUGAGAGAGGUUUUUACACCGGACCCAAUCCGACGCCAAAAAGAGACGAGGUCGACCGGAAGAAGCAUCUCUUGGCUGUCCCUUUGACCCCUCUUUGGUUAGAUUUCCUUGGCGAGAGGUCCAGGAAAGAAGGAG